RNAcentral lists this ribosomal RNA (424 nucleotides) under Verrucomicrobiota bacterium. RNAcentral describes it as "Verrucomicrobia bacterium partial 16S ribosomal RNA". It matches the Rfam family "Bacterial small subunit ribosomal RNA", at positions 355 to 776 of the family's 1533-position model. Lineage: Bacteria; Pseudomonadati; Verrucomicrobiota. The record is from RNAcentral.
UGAGGAAUAUUGGUCAAUGGACGGAAGUCUGAACCAGCCAAGUAGCGUGCAGGAUGACGGCCCUAUGGGUUGUAAACUGCUUUUGUAUGGGGAUAAAGUUAGGGACGUGUCCCUAUUUGCAGGUACCAUACGAAUAAGGACCGGCUAAUUCCGUGCCAGCAGCCGCGGUAAUACGGAAGGUCCAGGCGUUAUCCGGAUUUAUUGGGUUUAAAGGGAGCGUAGGCUGGAGAUUAAGUGUGUUGUGAAAUGUAGACGCUCAACGUCUGAAUUGCAGCGCGAACUGUCAGACUUGAGUGCGCACAACGUAGGCGGAAUUCAUGGUGUAGCGGUGAAAUGCUUAGAUAUCAUGAAGAACUCCGAUUGCGAAGGCAGCUUACGGGAGCGCAACUGACGCUGAAGCUCGAAGGUGCGGGUAUCGAACAGG